RNAcentral lists this ribosomal RNA (325 nucleotides) under Anaplasma phagocytophilum. RNAcentral describes it as "bacterial SSU rRNA". It matches the Rfam family "Bacterial small subunit ribosomal RNA", at positions 122 to 481 of the family's 1533-position model. The record is from RNAcentral. Lineage: Bacteria; Pseudomonadati; Pseudomonadota; Alphaproteobacteria; Rickettsiales; Anaplasmataceae.
GAAUCUACCUAGUAGUAUGGGAUAGCCACUGGAAAUGGUGGGUAAUACCGUAUAAUCCCCGCGGGGGAAAGAUUUAUCGCUAUUAGAUGAGCCUAUGUCGGAUUAGCUAGUUGGUGGGGUAAUGGCCUACCAAGGCAGUGAUCUGUAGCUGGUCUGAGAGGAUGAUCAGCCACACUGGAACUGAGACACGGUCCAGACUCCUACGGGAGGCAGCAGUGGGGAAUAUUGGACAAUGGGCGCAAGCCUGAUCCAGCUAUGCCGCGUGAGUGAGGAAGGCCUUAGGGUUGUAAAACUCUUUCAGUAGGGAAGAUAAUGACGGUACCUA